GUGAGGAAUAUUGGUCAAUGGGCGGAAGCCUGAACCAGCCAUCCCGCGUGGAGGAAGACGGCCCUAUGGGUUGUAAACUUCUUUUCAAGGGGAAGAAAGUUCGCGACGUGUCGCGAUUUGCCGGUACCUUUGGAAUAAGCAUCGGCUAACUCCGUGCCAGCAGCCGCGGUAAUACGGAGGAUGCGAGCGUUAUCCGGAUUUAUUGGGUUUAAAGGGUGCGUAGGCCGAUCGAUAAGUCAGCGGUGAAAUACCAUGGCCCAACCAUGGAACUGCCGUUGAUACUGUCGGUCUUGAAUAUGGUCAAGGUAGGCGGAAUGUGUAAUGUAGCGGUGAAAUGCUUAGAUAUUACACAGAACACCGAUUGCGAAGGCAGCUUACUGGUCCAUUAUUGACGCUGAGGCACGAAAGCGUGGGGAUCGAACAGGAUUAGAUACCCGUGUAGUCC
RNAcentral lists this ribosomal RNA (445 nucleotides) under uncultured bacterium. RNAcentral's name for it is "partial 16S ribosomal RNA". It matches the Rfam family "Bacterial small subunit ribosomal RNA", at positions 354 to 796 of the family's 1533-position model. The record is from RNAcentral.